This 450-nucleotide ribosomal RNA is filed under the name uncultured archaeon. RNAcentral's name for it is "bacterial SSU rRNA". It matches the Rfam family "Archaeal small subunit ribosomal RNA", at positions 24 to 448 of the family's 1478-position model. The record is from RNAcentral.
CCCGACUGCUAUCGGAUUGAGAUUUAGCCAUGCGAGUCGAACGUCCCCCUGUUGCGGGGGGCGUGGCGUACGGCUCAGUAACACGUAGUCAACCUGCCCUGGAGACACGGACAACCCCGGGAAACUGGGAUUAAUCCGCGAUAGGUCAUCCCAUCUGGAAGGAGGGAUGGCUUAAAGGGGUGUGCGGGCUUCUUCUGCACAUUCGCUCCAGGAUGGGACUGCGUCCGAUCAGGCUGUUGGCGGGGUAAUGGCCCACCAAACCUGUAACCGGUACGGGCCUUGAGAGAGGUGGCCCGGAGAUGGACACUGAGAGAAGGGUCCAGGUCCUACGGGGCGCAGCAGGCGCGAAACCUUCGCAAUGCGCGAAAGCGUGACGAGGUUAAUCCGAGUGGUCUCCGCUGAGGAGACCUUUUGUCAGCUGUAAAUAGUCGGGCGAAUAAGGGGAGGGCA